GGUGUUCAUUUUUAACUCAGAUGGGAUUCAAUUCACUUUGUUUGUAUUUAAAUCAGCGAACUGCGUCAGAAAGAAACGGGUCAGAAAAAGGAAGUUAAUAUCUGAAAAUCUCCAUUUUAUUAUACCGGUAGUCACUUUAAAGAAAGACUCUAAAAAGUUAAUAUCAAUGUUUUAUCAGAACAAUGACUGGAAGAUUACAAAGUUUUCGGGCGUUUUCACAUGCAGUUAUACUUCUCCUGUCAAUUCAUGAAGUACAUGUAUAUUCAAUUAAAUUUACAAGAUCAAUUUGCCUGGAAUAUCUAAAAGGUUUCAUAGAGAAUGGAAAUUGGUGUAGCAUUCAGCUUACAAACGUUUUACGAUGGCUAGAAGGUACGUAGUCAAUGUUUAUUUAAUUUGAUUCUAGAAAUUACUAUUUUAGCUUAGUUAGGUAAACAUAUUUAUUCAUUUUUAAAUCAAAAGAUUGAU
This is a long non-coding RNA of Saccostrea cuccullata (small rock oyster), 465 nucleotides long. RefSeq lists it as uncharacterized. Lineage: Eukaryota; Metazoa; Mollusca; Bivalvia; Ostreida; Ostreidae. The transcript is spliced from 3 exons. The record is from RefSeq and is a predicted model, not a curated record.